UACGUAGGGUGCGAGCGUUAAUCGGAAUUACUGGGCGUAAAGCGUGCGCAGGCUGUUCUGUAAGUCAGAUGUGAAAAUCCCCGAGCUCAACUUGGGAACUGCGUUUGAAAACUACAGGACUAGAAUAUGUCAGAGGGGGGUAGGAAAUUCCACGUGUAGCAGUGAAAAUGCGUAGAGAUGUGGGAGGAAUAACCAAAUGGCCGAAAGGGCAGCCCCCC
RNAcentral lists this ribosomal RNA (218 nucleotides) under uncultured bacterium. RNAcentral's name for it is "partial 16S ribosomal RNA". It matches the Rfam family "Bacterial small subunit ribosomal RNA", at positions 524 to 730 of the family's 1533-position model. The record is from RNAcentral.